This 298-nucleotide unclassified non-coding RNA is filed under the name uncultured Coprinellus. RNAcentral describes it as "sequence contains ITS2". The stretch from base 1 to 52 matches the Rfam family "5.8S ribosomal RNA", at positions 103 to 154 of the family's 154-position model. Lineage: Eukaryota; Fungi; Basidiomycota; Agaricomycetes; Agaricales; Psathyrellaceae. The record is from RNAcentral.
AACGCACCUUGCGCUCCUUGGUAUUCCGAGGAGCAUGCCUGUUUGAGUGUCAUUAAAUUCUCAACCUCACCAGUUUUGUCACCGAAACUGUGUGAAGGCUUGGAUGUGGAGGUUUUUGCAGGCUGCCUCUGUGCGGUCUGCUCCUCUGAAAUGCAUUAGCGAGUUUCACUAAGCUCCGUCUAUUGGUGUGAUAAUUAUCUACGCCGUGGAAGGGGUUUAGACUUGCUUCUAACCGUCCGCAAGGACAACACUUUGACAAUUUGACCUCAAAUCAGGUAGGACUACCCGCUGAACUUAA